This 407-nucleotide ribosomal RNA is filed under the name uncultured bacterium. RNAcentral describes it as "partial 16S ribosomal RNA". It matches the Rfam family "Bacterial small subunit ribosomal RNA", at positions 28 to 526 of the family's 1533-position model. The record is from RNAcentral.
GACGCACGCUGGCGGGAUGCCUUACACAUGCAAGUCGAACGGAGUGGCGAACGGGUGAGUAAUGUAUCGGAACGUGCCCAGUAGCGGGGGAUAACUACGCGAACGCGUAGCUAAUACCGCCUACUAUUGGAGCGGCAGAUAUCGGAUUAGCGCGUGUGUGGGGUAAAGGCUCACCAAGGCGACGAUCCGUAGCUGGUGUGAGAGGACGACCAGCCACACUGGGACUGAGACACGGCCCAGACUCCUACGGGAGGCAGCAGUGGGGAAUUUUGGAAAAUGGGGGAAACCCUGAUCCAGCCAUCCCGCGUGUGCGAUGAAGGCCUUCGGGUUGUAAAGCACUUUUGGCAGGAAAGCGGUACCUGCAGAAUAAGCACCGGCUAACUACGUGCCAGCCGCCGCGGUAAUAC